Molecule: small nucleolar RNA, 91 nt
Filed under: Zea mays
Lineage: Eukaryota; Viridiplantae; Streptophyta; Magnoliopsida; Poales; Poaceae
Description: Small nucleolar RNA R24
Rfam family: Small nucleolar RNA R24
About the family: snoR24 is a C/D box small nucleolar RNA which acts as a methylation guide for 18S ribosomal RNA in plants.
Source: Rfam by way of RNAcentral
CUCUCUUUAUGAGCCAUAACUUCUAAGAAAACUAACUGAUCAAUUGGUUCUUCAAUGAAAUAUAAGCUGAUACGCUUGCCUUCUGAGCUGU